RNAcentral lists this ribosomal RNA (807 nucleotides) under uncultured bacterium. Its description in RNAcentral is "bacterial SSU rRNA". It matches the Rfam family "Bacterial small subunit ribosomal RNA", at positions 60 to 879 of the family's 1533-position model. The record is from RNAcentral.
AGUUGAGCGGAGAUAUAUGGAGCUUGCUUUAUAUAACUUAGCAGCGAACGGGUGAGUAACACGUAGAUAAUCUAUCCUAUACUGGGGGAUAGCCCGAUGAAAGUUGGAUUAAUACCGCAUAUAGCUAUACAGUUGCAUGAUUAUGUAGUGAAAGAUUUAUUGGUAUAGGAGGAGUCUGCGGCACAUUAGCUAGUAGGUGAGGUAAAGGCUUACCUAGGCGACGAUGUGUAGCCGGUCUGAGAGGAUGAACGGCCACAAUGGAACUGAGACACGGUCCAUACUCCUACGGGAGGCAGCAGUGGGGAAUAUUGCACAAUGGGGGAAACCCUGAUGCAGCAACGCCGCGUGAGUGAAGAAGGUUUUCGGAUUGUAAAGCUCUGUUAGCAGGGAAGAGGAAGGACGGUACCUGCAGAGGAAGCCACGGCUAACUACGUGCCAGCAGCCGCGGUAAUACGUAGGUGGCAAGCGUUGUUCGGAAUAACUGGGCGUAAAGGAUGCGUAGGCGGUUAAACAAGUUAUAUGUUAAAUAUAUAGGCUUAACCUGUAGAAAGCAUAUAAAACUGUUUAACUAGAGUGCAGGAGAGGUAAGUGGAAUUCCUAGUGUAGCGGUGAAAUGCGUAGGGAUUAGGAAGAACACCAGUGGCGAAGGCGACUUACUGGACUGUAACUGACGCUGAGGCAUGAGAGCAUGGGGAGCAAACAGGAUUAGAUACCCUGGUAGUCCAUGCUGUAAACGAUGGGUACUAGGUGUGGGUUGUGAAUAACAAUUCGUGCCGUCGCAAACGCAAUAAGUACCCCGCCUGAGGA